CUGGAGAGCUGCAGGUGAACAGGUCAGGAAGCUGAGCUGAUGAGCAGGCUACAGCAGGAGCUGGAGAAUCAUGUGCGGAAAAGAACUAUGCAUAUGCAUGUUGACAUCAACAGUAAAGCACAAACAAGAAAGCAAACAAAACAGUUGGAGUGGAUUACAAUGCAUUUAAACAUGGAGGAAAUCGGUAUUUGUCAAAUGGAAAAAAAGAUCAACCCAGCAUAAAAAUGAAUAGGGCAUCCAGCUAUGCAGCUUUUUGUGCUUGAGAUCAAAGUGCUACUGGAGAACAAUAGCAGGCCACACUUGUGUGUUCAUGACCACACACAGCAGCACCUGAAGAGCAGCAAAAUGUCACUGUUGCUUCUGCAGUUUGAGCACAGAGGAAGCAGCUCUGCGGUGGCAGAUGAUUCUAAUAAUACUUGAUGUGAAUUGAUGGGGAAGGAGGACCAUAACACAGGGGGCUUUUUAUUAUAAGCCUUGACUUCCCAAGAUGUGAACAACAGAAUACUGCACCUGUGGACUUUCUUCCAAUCAACCAUUAUGGAAGCUGACAGAUUUUAUUAACUUAAGGAAGAACUUUUCAACAUUGGAGAUUUGUAGUUUAUUUUGUAGCCAUGUGAAAAAGAAAUAGAGGGACGUGUUUACAUAUUUCCCACUGUUCUUAUUUUUCUAAUAGAGCCUUAAACGCUCUGCUUUUUAAAAUAAUUUUGUAAUAAAAUUGGAGGGGCAUUUAUUGGGAGUAGGGUUCUUUUUUUUUUUUUUUUUUUAAUUAAAACAAGUUGUUUGGACUAUUUUCCUGGUCACUUGUUUUCAUUGCUCUGUGGCUUUCAUUAGAUGUUGAUGAAGAGACUUUGAAAAGCGAGGGAAUAAAUAUAUAUGCUACUUAAAAAAAGACAUUUGAUAGACUUCAACAUUUGAUGAAUGUUAAAAUCGUCACGCUGUGGAGAAUUGUGCUCUGGCUAACGCUAUGCAGCAACAUUGACCUCAAUACAGGGGUGCAAAGCAGACUUUGGCCCUUUAUGUCACUUUGUGUGUCUAGUGCAUACCCUUGAGUUAUAUAUUUGAGUUAAUGUUAUUGAGUCAUAUGAACCUUGUAACCUUCCCAAAUUUGGAGUCUGUUCCUUGCAAAGUUUCUCCAGUAGUUUUCACUGAUAAUGCAUCCCUAGUCCCUAUAUAUUGCCAGGGGCCAGGCAUUUUCCCAACAUCUGUAUGUUGGCACUUGUCUUACUUUAUUAUUUGCAUAACUUAAAACAAAAACAAGCGUUCAAAUGAGGCGAGAGAAAAAUCAUGUUUUUGUUAUAGAUUUUUCUGUUUUUCUUUACUUCUAGUGUUUACAGAAGCAGAGUCUGGCAUACCCAUUUCCCACAUUUGUAGAGGUGGAGACUCCAUAAACAGCAGGAUGGAUGCUGUUCUGCUGCAUAAGGGGUUGGGUAUAUAUGCCCCUGCAUGGCAUGGGGUCCAUCUCUAUAAGGCUCCCUCUGCAUCAGCAUCGAGAGGAAAGCUGGAUGGGGCAAGGAAAGGAUCAGGCCAGGGAAAACUCCA
This is a long non-coding RNA of Dermochelys coriacea (leatherback sea turtle), 1539 nucleotides long. RefSeq lists it as uncharacterized. The record is from RefSeq and is a predicted model, not a curated record. NCBI's taxonomy places the organism in Eukaryota, Metazoa, Chordata, Testudines, Dermochelyidae. The transcript is spliced from 3 exons.